This is a long non-coding RNA of Ostrea edulis (European flat oyster), 1036 nucleotides long. RefSeq lists it as uncharacterized. NCBI's taxonomy places the organism in Eukaryota, Metazoa, Mollusca, Bivalvia, Ostreida, Ostreidae. The transcript is spliced from 2 exons. The record is from RefSeq and is a predicted model, not a curated record.
UACAAAAACUAGGUAUAUAUUAAGCGAAAUAAACAUACACACGUACUGAUUUAAAAUUUCGGACCGAUUGAAAGUCGGAUCGGGUCAGUGAAAGUUCGAAUCGGCCUGCAGUCGUUUCAAACAUCUCCGUGAUUCGGAACUGGCAGUGUGAUUCGGAACUGACCUAUGAACAUGGUUAUGGAAAAUGCAAAGGCCGUUGAUAUUUACCACGAUUUUCAAAUAAUUUUAGUUAUUUUUCAUUUUAGUAACUUCUGAUCUUAUCACAAGACGAUUAAAACGUACAGUAUCUUCGUGUAUUAUACCGCUAGCAAUCGUUAAUGAAAAUGUGAUCCGGAACUAGGCAAACAACUGUUAGAUGGAUCAAUGCCAUUGAGACUAAUCUCUUGAAACACUCCCGGACACCUUGAUACCCAGGCCAUGACAUACAGUUCCUGUAAGUGCUGACAUACCGUCAAAGCAGUGACUUGUGCAACACCGAAUGGUGCAAUCACUUAUUUUUCAACUUUGAAUAUAGGGAUCAACAUGUACUCCACAGAAAAGUUCCAGCAAAACCCAAGGCUGGAAAACAGUUUAGGUGUUCACCAUCUGUGAUCAAUUAAAACAAUGUGUGUCCUUGAACAUUCCGGCUUUUUAUCCUUGAGAGGACAGUUGGCUUAUAAAAAAGUUGAACUGUGUUACGUACUAGCCAGGGGAGUAUUUACGUCGAGAGGGCUAAAGAAAGGAUAAAAUCCACAUACCAGCAGUCUACGAGCCAAUAUUAACCAAGAUAAAUAUGUGCAUGGGAUGCAUUUAACAGUAUAUUAAAUUCUCAUAACUGUUUAUUCAACCGUAAUAUUUUUAAAACUUUUUCUGGGGUGACUGUUAAGUACAAUGCUCUAUAUGUUCACAUCUUCAGGAAUUAAGCACUCGUUUGGUUGGGUUUUUUUUUUAUUUUACAUCGUUUUCUUCAUUUAUUAUUUUUAUUUGCAAAUCCUGUAUGAAUAAAAUAAAACUCGUAUGUCAAAUAGUUUAGUAUAAAUAAAAAAUGCACUAUUGA